This 642-nucleotide ribosomal RNA is filed under the name Macrobrachium venustum. Its description in RNAcentral is "eukaryotic LSU rRNA". It matches the Rfam family "Eukaryotic large subunit ribosomal RNA", at positions 667 to 1135 of the family's 3401-position model. The record is from RNAcentral. Lineage: Eukaryota; Metazoa; Arthropoda; Malacostraca; Decapoda; Palaemonidae.
CGACAAGGAGUCCAACAUGUGCGCGAGUCUAAGGGUUUAUUAAACCUGGAGGCGAAAUGAAAGUGAGACCCUUUUUGGGACAGGCCGAUCCCUUGUCAGGAAGAAUGGCUGUACAUGGUUGUAGGUGCAUGCUUGCGGCUGUUUGUGCAGUUUAUUGUUCUUGGCUGUCUAGCUGUCCUUUGGGAUGGUUGGAUUUUGGGCGCAGGCCGAGGACUUGCCAUAGUGCGGCGCGGGCAACGGGUUGCUUUCGGGCUUCCUUAUCCCGAUGUCCGCCGGCAAGUACCUGAGAGCGCAGCCGUUGGGACCCGAAAGAUGGUGAACUAUGCCUGGCGAGGACGAAGCCAGAGGAAACUCUGGUGGAGGUCCGAAGCAGUUCUGACGUGCAAAUCGAUUGUCAGAGCUGGGUAUAGGGGCGAAAGACUAAUCGAACCAUCUAGUAGCUGGUUCCCUCCGAAGUUUCCCUCAGGAUAGCUGGCUUUCAUUGAUUUGAUGAGUUUCAUCCGGUAAAGCGAAUGAUUAGAGGCCUUGGUGGUGCAAUGCCGUCAACCUAUUCUCAAACUUUAAAUGGGUGAGAUGUAGAGCUUGCUUGAGAGAGAUAUUUGAAGCUCUAUGUUAUUGAAUCAGAAUGCCUAGUGGGCCACU